RNAcentral lists this ribosomal RNA (439 nucleotides) under uncultured bacterium. RNAcentral's name for it is "partial 16S ribosomal RNA". It matches the Rfam family "Bacterial small subunit ribosomal RNA", at positions 339 to 795 of the family's 1533-position model. The record is from RNAcentral.
CUACGGGGUGCUCCAGUGGGGAAUAUUGGACAAUGGGCGCAAGCCUGAUCCAGCAAUGCCGCGUGAGUGAAGACGGCCUUAGGGUUGUAAAACUCUUUCGCUAGGGAAGAUAAUGACUGUACCUAGUAAAGAAGUCCCGGCUAACUCCGUGCCAGCAGCCGCGGUAAUACGGAGGGGACUAGCGUUGUUCGGAAUUACUGGGCGUAAAGAGUUCGUAGGCGGACUGACAAGUUAGAGGUGAAAUCCCAGGGCUCAACCCUGGAACUGCCUUUAAAACUGUCAGUCUAGAGACCGGAAGAGGUUAGGGGAAUACCUAGUGUAGAGGUGAAAUUCGUAGAUAUUAGGUGGAACACCAGUGGCGAAGGCGCCUAACUGGUCCAGUACUGACGCUGAGGAACGAAAGCGUGGGGAGCAAACAGGAUUAGAUACCCUAGUAGUC